GUGGGCGUAGCUCAGCGGUUAGAGCAUCGGACUGUGGCUCCGAGGGCCGGGGGUUCAAAUCCCCUCGCCCACCCCA
This 76-nucleotide transfer RNA is filed under the name Deltaproteobacteria bacterium. RNAcentral describes it as "tRNA-His". It matches the Rfam family "tRNA". Rfam says of the family: Transfer RNA (tRNA) molecules are approximately 80 nucleotides in length. Their secondary structure includes four short double-helical elements and three loops (D, anti-codon, and T loops). Further hydrogen bonds mediate the characteristic L-shaped molecular structure. tRNAs have two regions of fundamental functional importance: the anti-codon, which is responsible for specific mRNA codon recognition, and the 3' end, to which the tRNAs corresponding amino acid is attached (by aminoacyl-tRNA synthetases). tRNAs cope with the degeneracy of the genetic code in two manners: having more than one tRNA (with a specific anti-codon) for a particular amino acid; and 'wobble' base-pairing, i.e. permitting non-standard base-pairing at the 3rd anti-codon position. The record is from RNAcentral. Lineage: Bacteria; Pseudomonadati; Myxococcota; Myxococcia.